Long non-coding RNA from Acinonyx jubatus (cheetah), 1519 nucleotides. RefSeq lists it as uncharacterized. NCBI's taxonomy places the organism in Eukaryota, Metazoa, Chordata, Mammalia, Carnivora, Felidae. The record is from RefSeq and is a predicted model, not a curated record. The transcript is spliced from 3 exons.
CUUCUGACAUCUUCAACUGCUUUGUGAAGUCUACUACAGUAUACUGCAAGUAAAAUGAUUUCUGGUCUCCUGAAGAGAAUAUCUUACUCUGUGUUUGUGACAUACGUGCAUCAUCAUACUUUCCAGUUUCAGACAUAAUGGACACAAUGAUCACAAAUUUACCCAGUGAAUUUGUGUAUGCUAUCCUCGCUGCCAGGGAGGAUGAAGAUCUACACAGCCCAUGAUUCUUACCCUGGGGGAGCUUGGACAAACUUUGAACAUGAAACCAUCAUGACAAUACAAAGGUUUCAAGUUCUGUCCCACAAUUUUCCAGUGAUUCUACAAGGAGCAAAGUCCAUAAGCAAAAGGUUUGAGCUAAAAACAUAACCAUCAGCAAAUAUUUAAGAUGUUUUUAUUUUGUGUUGUUUUUUUUAUUAUUUUCCUGCCUGGUAUGCUAGGGAGAAAAAAAAACUUGAAAAAUUCUAUAUCUUCAAGUUAUUAAGAAGAUAUUUGUGAUUUUCAUUCUCAGUGUAUUAUUUAGCCAGGUAUAUCCCUAUUUUCUUUCUUUUAUUUUGCAAUGUUCACUAUGAUGUUAGUAUGGAAAAUAAAAUAUGACUCAUAUUGGUUAUAAAGAUAGAUUACAUGUGUACAAAGAAUUCUGACCUCAAAUUAGGAAGUUGAAAAUUUCCUAAAAUCUGCUCUAGCAAACAUUACUGGAAACAUUUGUAUGAUUUUUUUUAAACCUCUCAAAUACAUGAUUAAUUCAUGUAUAUUAGUAGAAAAUGAGAAAAAAAUGGAUUUUGUCCAAACCACCUAUAAGAUACUAUUGCCAUCUUGACUCUUGUAUACAAAAAUGGUGGCAGAAUCAGAAAAUAUGGAGACUAAAAAUUAUAUAUUAAACAAGGAACUUAUUAAAGUUAUAAAAAUGACAUUAUAAUCUUAAUUAAGCCAAAAAUGAUAUUCUAGUUUCCAGUUGCAGAUGCAAGUAGCCAUUUCACAAUUUACCUUGGGCUGAUUGACUAAUCUCAAUAAAAACUUAAGUGAUUCAGAAAUGUAACUGUCUAGAAAGUAAAACUUCAAGAGCCCUGUCCUCAAUACCUCAAGUCCCAGAGUGACAAUGGGAGUCCCAAUGGACACCUUGGAGAAUUUAGCCCCUCCUUCAACUUUAAUUUACCCUGCGGUUACAGUCUACUACUAAGAUACUAAUUUUUGAAAAAGAAGAUGAGACUAAGAGUAUGAAUAAAUAAGUAAAUGAGUAAAUUACUAGAGAAUCUUGGGGACCAAGAGUAAACCACUUGAUCACCAAAAAAACCCAAAAAACAAAAAACAGCAAUAAGAAUAUCCACUUCACAAUUUGUACUAGCAUCAGUAUCACCAAGGACUAAUUAGUUCAGAAUCCUUGAGAAGAGAACACAUUCCUUGAAAAGUAAAUAAAUAUUCUGAUGGGUUCUUGCCUUAGAAUCGUUAAAGGAUUUUGUGUUGCAAAAAAAAAAAAAAUGUUGAAUUAGUAGUAGUCCUUCUACAAUGAUAUUUGUCUCUC